This 482-nucleotide ribosomal RNA is filed under the name uncultured bacterium. RNAcentral's name for it is "partial 16S ribosomal RNA". It matches the Rfam family "Bacterial small subunit ribosomal RNA", at positions 28 to 523 of the family's 1533-position model. The record is from RNAcentral.
GAUGAACGCUGGCGGCGCGCUUAACACAUGCAAGUCGAACGAUGAAGAAGAGCUUGCUCUUCGGAUUAGUGGCGAACGGGUGAGUAACACGUGACUAACCUGCCCCUUUCUCUGGGAUAACGCUCCGAAAGGAGUGCUAAUACCGGAUACUCACAUCGAGGCACAUGCCUUGAUGUGGAAAGUUUUUCGGAAAGGGAUGGAGUCGCGGCCUAUCAGCUUGUUGGUGAGGUAACGGCUCACCAAGGCGACGACGGGUAGCCGGCCUGAGAGGGCGACCGGCCACACUGGGACUGAGACACGGCCCAGACUCCUACGGGAGGCAGCAGUGGGGAAUAUUGCACAAUGGGCGAAAGCCUGAUGCAGCGACGCCGCGUGAGGGAUGAAGGUCUUCGGAUUGUAAACCUCUUUCAGUAGGGACGAAGCGAAAGUGACGGUACCUAAAGAAGAAGUACCGGCUAACUACGUGCCAGCAGCCGCCGUAA